ACUGGCAAGGCCAGCAUUUUCUCUCCUCAUUGCUUUUGAAUGGAGUGGCUUACUACAUCUUCACAGAGGGCAGUUAAGAGUCAACCAUAUUGCUGUGCAGCUGGACUGAAGUGCAAGGAUCACAGCAAUCCCUUCACGAAGAACAUCAAUUAACCAAAUGCUGCCAGACCUGCCAAGCUUUUUCAGCAAUUUCUGUUUUUGUUAAUAAUUCAAUGAUCCAGAAGGAGUGCAAGAUAUUAGAAAAAUACAAACGUACUGCCCCUAUUCAAGAAAGACGGAAAACCAAAAUUAUAG
This is a long non-coding RNA of Hemiscyllium ocellatum (epaulette shark), 294 nucleotides long. RefSeq lists it as uncharacterized. The record is from RefSeq and is a predicted model, not a curated record. The transcript is spliced from 3 exons. Lineage: Eukaryota; Metazoa; Chordata; Chondrichthyes; Orectolobiformes; Hemiscylliidae.